CACCCCCCCCCCACCCACCCCGGUUCCCACUGCUCAGCGCCGGGGUUCGCCCGGGGACGCGCGGGCGGCUGGGCGCGAGGGCACCUGGCAAGGUCGGUGCCGGAGGUCGGCCGGGGAACGCCGGCCACGUGCUCUCGCCAGCCGGCUGCACGCGGAGGAAUUUUAAAUAUAGCCGGCGGGGACGGGACGGGACGGGACGGGGACGCUGGGCUGCACGGGUCCCCCCUGCGCGGCUCCCCCCUCCGGCUUUUCUCCCUCGGAUGCGGCUGUUACUCUAACGCAUCCCCUCGGAUUUUGCCUCCAGCAUCUCUUCUCCGGCAGCAGCCCCGGCGUGGGCGUUGCUCCGGGGUAUUGAUCCUGGCCCGUUUGGGCUCGUUCGGAGGUAAUUCGGGGGUCGCUUGGACUGGCCAAAUUAGUGACAACUCAGGCUCUCGGCUUUACGACCACACGGACACAGUCAAAACCGAUUCUUGCUCCAAAAGCCAGGGAAAAACCGUCCGGCAGGUUUUGCUCUGUUUGUGCUGCACAGUGCCGCUUCCGCAGGCGGGAAUCCCGCCGGAGCAGUGUCAGGGGCUGCCAGGUCCCCGGAGGCAAAGCAAACCUGCGGCGGGCGUUUGUGGCUCCGGUGGCUGCCGGGGGGCUGCGUCUCGAGGGGGCAGGUUCUUCCCCCCGGGCGUCGGAACAGCAGCUUUGGGUGCUGCCGUCAGCCUGGGCGGCUCCGCUCGGAGCGCAGUGGGCUCCGGGCUCCGGCGCCGGGAGGAUGCAGCCCCAGGGCUCAGCACCGCCCGCCUCGUCCCUGCUCAGCAGUCGCAAGCUGCCUCAGUCGCCCUGGCGCGAGCGUGGUGCGCGGGGGAGUUCGGGCACCGAGGUCCCAGUGCUCCCAGUGCUCCAGCUCCCAGUCCUCCCAGUGACCCGACUCCCAUGCCUCCCAAUGCCCCAGCUCCCAGUGCUCCCAGUCCUCCCAGUGCUUCAGCUCCCAGGCCUCCCAGUGCCUUGGCUCCCAGUCCUCCCCAGUGCCCUGACUCCCAGUCCUCCCAGCACCCUGACUCCCAGUCCUCCCCAGUGCCCUGGCUCCCAGUCCUCCCCAUGCCCUGA
Molecule: long non-coding RNA, 1095 nt
Filed under: Apteryx haastii (Great spotted kiwi)
Lineage: Eukaryota; Metazoa; Chordata; Aves; Apterygiformes; Apterygidae
Description: lncRNA (ENSAHAG00000018582.1)
Source: RNAcentral